Long non-coding RNA from Triticum aestivum (bread wheat), 449 nucleotides. RefSeq lists it as uncharacterized. Lineage: Eukaryota; Viridiplantae; Streptophyta; Magnoliopsida; Poales; Poaceae. The transcript is spliced from 3 exons. The record is from RefSeq and is a predicted model, not a curated record.
CAGAACUCUUUGUCAGCGUGGCGGCCGGUGGCAGCGGCCAUCUACGAUCUGUUCGUGCGUUGCCCUGAUGGAGGCGGCCGUGCUCCAUAGCAAGGCAGAAAGGGAAACCAACUUCAACUUUGCGAGGAGAAGUUCCGCAUUUGAGAAGCCGGAGAAGAGUAUCUCACUAAGUACAGAUUCGAGGUAGGGAUAUCAUUUUCUCUCCAAUCCAUUUAUCAUGGGAUCAUUUCCCAGAAAAAGACAAACAUGAAGGUAGCUGUGGACAGACUAUAUUUGUUUACUUCUUCUACCCACAAGUUUCAUGUACUGGACAACUAUAUUACACAUAUCUUGUGUUAUGAAAGAUAAUAGUUGGUGAUUGAUAUGGCAAGUGUCUACGAGCUGCCUAAUAUAGCAUGCAUUUAACAGUUCUUUCGAAUUCAUAUCUCUGCCUUUUCAUAAUUCCAUGG